RNAcentral lists this ribosomal RNA (486 nucleotides) under uncultured rumen bacterium. RNAcentral describes it as "bacterial SSU rRNA". It matches the Rfam family "Bacterial small subunit ribosomal RNA", at positions 55 to 539 of the family's 1533-position model. The record is from RNAcentral.
AUGCAAGUCGAGCGAGAACCUUCGGAACAGAGAUUCGUCAAAGGGAAGAAGGGGAAAGCGGCGGACGGGUGAGUAACGCGUAGGCAACCUGCCCUUAGCAGAGGGAUAGCCAUUGGAAACGAUGAUUAAAACCUCAUAAUGCUGAAGCAACACAUGUUGAAUCAGCCAAAGAUUUAUCGGCUAAGGAUGGGCCUGCGUCUGAUUAACUAGUUGGUGAGGUAACGGCCCACCAAGGUGACGAUCAGUAGCCGACCUGAGAGGGUGAUCGGCCACAUUGGAACUGAGACACGGUCCAAACUUCUACGGAAGGCAGCAGUAAGGAAUCUUGCACAAUGGGGGAAACCCUGAUGCAGCAACGCCGCGUGAGUGAUGAAGGCCUUAGGGUUGUAAAACUCUGAUCUGGGGGAAGAAGAAAGUGACGGUACCCCAGGAGAAAGCCCCGGCUAAAUACGUGCCAGCAGCCGCGGUAAUACGUAUGGGGCAAGC